Molecule: ribosomal RNA, 397 nt
Filed under: uncultured bacterium
Lineage: Bacteria
Description: partial 16S ribosomal RNA
Rfam family: Bacterial small subunit ribosomal RNA
Source: RNAcentral
AUACGUAGGGGGCGAGCGUUGUCCGGAAUGACUGGGCGUAAAGGGCGUGUAGGCGGCGGAUUAAGUCUGGAGUGAAAGUCCUGCUUUCAAUGUGGGAAUUGCUUUGGAUACUGCAGUGCUAGAGUGCGGAAGAGGUAAGUGGAAUUCCCAGUGUAGCGGUGAAAUGCGUAGAGAUUGGGAGGAACACCAGUGGCGAAGGCGACUUACUGGGCCGUAACUGACGCUGAGGCGCGAAAGCGUGGGGAGCGAACAGGAUUAGAUACCCUGGUAGUCCACGCGGUAAACGAUGAAUGCUAGGUGUUGCGGGUAUCGACCCCUGCAGUGCCGGAGUAAACACAAUAAGCAUUCCGCCUGGGGAGUACGGCCGCAAGGUUGAAACUCAAAUGAAUUGACGGGG